This 31-nucleotide non-coding RNA is filed under the name Mus musculus (house mouse). The record is from RNAcentral. Lineage: Eukaryota; Metazoa; Chordata; Mammalia; Rodentia; Muridae.
UAAGUAGUACAGAUGCAAUGCCUAUCUAAGA